AUUGAACGCUGGCGGCAGGCCUAACACAUGCAAGUCGAGCGGAUGAAGGGAGCUUGCUCCUGGAUUCAGCGGCGGACGGGUGAGUAAUGCCUAGGAAUCUGCCUGGUAGUGGGGGAUAACGUCCGAAAACGGGCGCUAAUACCGCAUACGUCCUGAGGGAGAAAGUGGGGGAUCUUCGGACCUCACGCUAUCAGAUGAGCCUAGGUCGGAUUAGCUAGUUGGUGGGGUAGAGGCCUACCAAGGCGACGAUCCGUAACUGGUCUGAGAGGAUGAUCAGUCACACUGGAACUGAGACACGGUCCAGACUCCUACGGGAGGCAGCAGUGGGGAAUAUUGGACAAUGGGCGAAAGCCUGAUCCAGCCAUGCCGCGUGUGUGAAGAAGGUCUUCGGAUUGUAAAGCACUUUAAGUUGGGAGGAAGGGCAGUAAGUUAAUACCUUGCUGUUUUGACGUUACCAACAGAAUAAGCACCGGCUAACUUCGUG
RNAcentral lists this ribosomal RNA (484 nucleotides) under uncultured bacterium. RNAcentral describes it as "partial 16S ribosomal RNA". It matches the Rfam family "Bacterial small subunit ribosomal RNA", at positions 30 to 507 of the family's 1533-position model. The record is from RNAcentral.